AGUGAACGCUGGCGGUAGGCCUAACACAUGCAAGUCGAGCGGCAGAAGAGUAAGAGCUCGUGCUUACGGGGGGGGAGUGGCGGGCGGGUGCGGGAAACCUGGGAGGUUGUGGGGUAUUGGGGGAUGACGUGGGGGAUCAUACGCUAAAAGUGCAUACGACGUAAGGGGGAAAGCAGGGGACCUUAGGAUCUCGGACGAGUGUAUGAGGCGAGGUCGGAUUAGCUAGUUGGAGGGGUAAAGGCCCACCAAGGCGACGAUCCGUAGCUGGUCUGAGAGGAUGAUCAGCCACACUGGAACUGAGACACGGUCCAGACUCCUACGGGAGGCAGCAGUGGGGAAUAUUGGACAAUGGGCGCAAGCCUGAUCCAGCCAUGCCGCGUGUGUGAAGAAGGUCUUCGGAUUGUAAAGCACUUUUAUUUGGGAAGAAGAGCAGUAAGUUAAUACCCCGCUGUUCUGACGUUACCAAAAGAAUAAGCACCGGCUAACUUCGUG
Molecule: ribosomal RNA, 492 nt
Filed under: uncultured bacterium
Lineage: Bacteria
Description: partial 16S ribosomal RNA
Rfam family: Bacterial small subunit ribosomal RNA
Source: RNAcentral